This 428-nucleotide ribosomal RNA is filed under the name uncultured bacterium. RNAcentral describes it as "bacterial SSU rRNA". It matches the Rfam family "Bacterial small subunit ribosomal RNA", at positions 355 to 775 of the family's 1533-position model. The record is from RNAcentral.
UGGGGAAUAUUGCGCAAUGGGGGAAACCCUGACGCAGCGACGCCGCGUGAGCGAUGAAGGCCUUAGGGUUGUAAAGCUCUGUUUUAAGGGACGAAUGUUACGGGGAGUAAUAUGCCCUGUAAUGACGGUACCUUAAGAGGAAGCCCCGGCUAACUACGUGCCAGCAGCCGCGGUAAGACGUAGGGGGCGAGCGUUGUCCGGAAUUACUGGGCGUAAAGAACACGUAGGCGGGACUUUAAGUCAGGUGUGAAAGACCGGGGCUCAACCUCGGGGUGGCACUUGAAACUGGGGUUCUUGAGGGCAGGAGAGGAAAGUAGAAUUCCUGGUGUAGCGGUGAAAUGCGUAGAAAUCAGGAGGAAUACCAGUGGCGAAGGCGACUUUCUGGACUGACCCUGACGCUGAGGUGCGAAAGCGUGGGUAGCAAACAG